GGGCUAGUGCAUAGCGCAAGAGGAAACAUGGUGUAAAUGCGUUGGAAUGGAAAGCAGAGUCUAGAGUCUUGAAGUCCAAGACAGGGAAUUAGAUUUUAUUCCAGGAGCAGUUUCAAAUCACUGAAGAAUUGUAAACAGAAAAGUGAUAUGGUCCAACUCAUGUUUUGAAAAGAUCAUUUUGAAACAAUGUAGAUAAUGGCUUGAAGCUGCUUCAAGUAAUCCGGAGAUUACUGCAAGCCAUCCAGCUAUUUGGCAGCUAAGGACAUUCUUCUGCAUGCUGCACUGCUGGUGGAAAAUAUGGAAGAGAUGCCCAUGACUGUCAGCUAUGGCCUUAAGACCCCGGAGAUUCAGUUCUCUGAUGAGAAGUCGCUUUGAGUCUGUGAAACGUUACACCAGGCAUCUGCUGAAUUUGAAGGGAGUAGCAAGUGGUGACAGAAUAACCAGUUGUCAGUGAUCUGUAUCAGUUGUGCAAAUGCCAGAAAAAUAAUUUCAAGGUGAUUUCCCAGGUAUUUGUAAUAGAUCAUAAAUAAAAAAGGCUACUGGCUAGUAACAUCCUGCAUUCCACCUUGAAUUUCUAGAGUAGUCCUUGGAUUGCAAAUAUAAACGUUCUCAAAAAUAUAAAUAUGACUACUUUAACAAUCCAGCAACGAAUGGACAAAUAUAAUU
Molecule: long non-coding RNA, 666 nt
Filed under: Equus asinus (donkey)
Lineage: Eukaryota; Metazoa; Chordata; Mammalia; Perissodactyla; Equidae
Description: lncRNA (ENSEASG00005029676.1)
Source: RNAcentral